RNAcentral lists this ribosomal RNA (445 nucleotides) under uncultured bacterium. Its description in RNAcentral is "bacterial SSU rRNA". It matches the Rfam family "Bacterial small subunit ribosomal RNA", at positions 354 to 796 of the family's 1533-position model. The record is from RNAcentral.
GUAAGGAAUAUUGGUCAAUGGGCGAAAGCCUGAACCAGCCAUGCCGCGUGCAGGAUGAAGGCCCUCUGGGUUGUAAACUGCUUUUAUCUGGGAAGAAACACCCCGUUUCUACGGGGCUUGACGGUACCAGAGGAAUAAGCACCGGCUAACUCCGUGCCAGCAGCCGCGGUAAUACGGAGGGUGCAAGCGUUAUCCGGAUUUACUGGGUUUAAAGGGUGCGUAGGCGGGCCUUUAAGUCAGUGGUGAAAUCUCCCGGCUUAACCGGGAAACUGCCAUUGAUACUAUUGGUCUUGAAUUCAGUUGAGGUGGGCGGAAUGUGUCGUGUAGCGGUGAAAUGCUUAGAUAUGACACAGAACACCAAUUGCGAAGGCAGCUCGCUAAACUGACAUUGACGCUGAGGCACGAAAGCGUGGGGAUCAAACAGGAUUAGAAACCCGAGUAGUCC